This 430-nucleotide ribosomal RNA is filed under the name Brucella melitensis. RNAcentral's name for it is "partial 16S ribosomal RNA". It matches the Rfam family "Bacterial small subunit ribosomal RNA", at positions 355 to 776 of the family's 1533-position model. The record is from RNAcentral. RNAcentral also lists the same sequence under 2 other names. Lineage: Bacteria; Pseudomonadati; Pseudomonadota; Alphaproteobacteria; Hyphomicrobiales; Brucellaceae.
UGGGGAAUAUUGGACAAUGGGCGAAAGCCUGAUCCAGCCAUGCCGCGUGUGUGAAGAAGGCCUUUUGGUUGUAAAGCACUUUAAGCGAGGAGGAGGCUACUGAGAUUAAUACUCUUGGAUAGUGGACGUUACUCGCAGAAUAAGCACCGGCUAACUCUGUGCCAGCAGCCGCGGUAAUACAGAGGGUGCGAGCGUUAAUCGGAUUUACUGGGCGUAAAGCGUGCGUAGGCGGCUUCUUAAGUCGGAUGUGAAAUCCCUGAGCUUAACUUAGGAAUUGCAUUCGAUACUGGGAAGCUAGAGUAUGGGAGAGGAUGGUAGAAUUCCAGGUGUAGCGGUGAAAUGCGUAGAGAUCUGGAGGAAUACCGAUGGCGAAGGCAGCCAUCUGGCCUAAUACUGACGCUGAGGUACGAAAGCAUGGGGAGCAAACAGG